RNAcentral lists this ribosomal RNA (464 nucleotides) under Vreelandella stevensii. RNAcentral describes it as "partial 16S ribosomal RNA". It matches the Rfam family "Bacterial small subunit ribosomal RNA", at positions 338 to 795 of the family's 1533-position model. The record is from RNAcentral. Lineage: Bacteria; Pseudomonadati; Pseudomonadota; Gammaproteobacteria; Oceanospirillales; Halomonadaceae.
CCUACGGGGGGCAGCAGUGGGGAAUAUUGGACAAUGGGCGAAAGCCUGAUCCAGCCAUGCCGCGUGUGUGAAGAAGGCCUUCGGGUUGUAAAGCACUUUCAGUGGGGAAGAAAGCCUUGGGGCUAAUACCCUCGAGGAAGGACAUCACCCACAGAAGAAGCACCGGCUAACUCCGUGCCAGCAGCCGCGGUAAUACGGAGGGUGCGAGCGUUAAUCGGAAUUACUGGGCGUAAAGCGCGCGUAGGCGGUCUGAUAAGCCGGUUGUGAAAGCCCCGGGCUCAACCUGGGAACGGCAUCCGGAACUGUGAGGCUAGAGGACAGUAGAGGAAGGUAGAUUUCCCGGGGUAGCGGGGAAAGGCGUGAAGUGCGGGAGGAAUCCCAGUGGCGAGGACGGCCUCCGGGACUGACACUAACGCGGAGGUGCGAAAGCGUGGGUAGCAACCAGAAUAAGAACCCUGGUAGUC